UAGGGAAUCUUCCGCAAUGGGCGAAAGCCUGACGGAGCAACGCCGCUUGAGUGAUGAAGGUCUUCGGAUCGUAAAACUCUGUUAUUAGGGAAGAACAAAUGUGUAAGUAACUAUGCACGUCUUGACGGUACCUAAUCAGAAAGCCACGGCUAACUACGUGCCAGCAGCCGCGGUAAUACGUAGGUGGCAAGCGUUAUCCGGAAUUAUUGGGCGUAAAGCGCGCGUAGGCGGUUUUUUAAGUCUGAUGUGAAAGCCCACGGCUCAACCGUGGAGGGUCAUUGGAAACUGGAAAACUUGAGUGCAGAAGAGGAAAGUGGAAUUCCAUGUGUAGCGGUGAAAUGCGCAGAGAUAUGGAGGAACACCAGUGGCGAAGGCGACUUUCUGGUCUGUAACUGACGCUGAUGUGCGAAAGCGUGGGGAUCAAACAGG
RNAcentral lists this ribosomal RNA (429 nucleotides) under Actinomycetes bacterium. Its description in RNAcentral is "Actinobacteria bacterium partial 16S ribosomal RNA". It matches the Rfam family "Bacterial small subunit ribosomal RNA", at positions 355 to 776 of the family's 1533-position model. Lineage: Bacteria; Bacillati; Actinomycetota; Actinomycetes. The record is from RNAcentral.